This 253-nucleotide ribosomal RNA is filed under the name uncultured bacterium. RNAcentral's name for it is "partial 16S ribosomal RNA". It matches the Rfam family "Bacterial small subunit ribosomal RNA", at positions 524 to 776 of the family's 1533-position model. The record is from RNAcentral.
UACGAAGGGGGCUAGCGUUGCUCGGAAUGACUGGGCGUAAAGGGCGCGUAGGCGGCUUGUAUAGUCGGAUGUGAAAUCCCGAGGCUCAACCUCGGGUCUGCAGUCGAUACGGGCGGACUGGAGUACUGCAGGGGAGACUGGAAUUCCUGGUGUAGCGGUGAAAUGCGCAGAUAUCAGGAGGAACACCAAUGGCGAAGGCAGCUCACUGGGACGGUAUUGACGCUGAGACGCGAAAGCGUGGGGAGCAAACAGG